Molecule: long non-coding RNA, 297 nt
Filed under: Chrysolophus pictus (golden pheasant)
Lineage: Eukaryota; Metazoa; Chordata; Aves; Galliformes; Phasianidae
Description: lncRNA (ENSCPIG00010012100.1)
Source: RNAcentral
UCUGAUAGCUGCAGAGCUGUGGCAAAAGGAUCUAUGCAAAGAUUUACAUGAGUCCUGUCAGGAUAGAGAGGAUAAUAACCGUACCAGCUUCACCAACCCAUGGAGAGAACAGCUGAAGAGAGCCUGUGAAAUUGCUAUGAUGAAUAGCAGAAGAAGGGAAGGUUUCUUGCAGUGAGAGAGAUCUGAGCAGCACUUCAGGCUGGAAGGCAAAAGUUGCUCUGAAAAGGCUGCAUCCUGACUCUCCCACAUCCCUGUAUUUUAUCUUGGUCAACGAUGUACAUCCUUGUAAAAAGUAAG